CUGGACCUCGGAUCAKGCCAGGCUACCCGCUGAAUUUAAGCAUAUUAAUAAGCGGAGGAAAAGAAACUAACAAGGAUUCCCCCAGUAACGGCGAGCGAAGCGGGAAUAGCUCAAAUUUGAAAUCUCCGGUGCUUGCACCGGCGAAUUGUAGUCUGUAGGGCCAGUUUCGCCCGAGACAGCUUCCCCAAAGUCGUCCUGGAAAGGCGAGCCGGAGAGGGUGAGAGCCCCGUACGCGGGGGCGCUGUCGAGGGUAAGAUCUGUGCCCGAAGAGUCGGGUUGUUUGGGAUUGCAGCCCAAAAUGGGUGGUAAACUCCAUCUAAAGCUAAAUACCGGCACGAGACCGAUAGCG
RNAcentral lists this ribosomal RNA (349 nucleotides) under Polyfibrospongia flabellifera. RNAcentral describes it as "eukaryotic LSU rRNA". It matches the Rfam family "Eukaryotic large subunit ribosomal RNA", at positions 1 to 342 of the family's 3401-position model. The record is from RNAcentral. Lineage: Eukaryota; Metazoa; Porifera; Demospongiae; Dictyoceratida; Thorectidae.